GGGCCCCUAACCGUGGUGAUGACGUGGAAGAGGCUUGACCGAGGAGGGAUCACUAGUUGUGUUGGCUAGGAUGGUGGAAACUGUCGUUCAUUGCGAGUAGCGUGAAAAACUUAUAGUUAGAGGCUUGGAAAAAAAAGAUAAGCAUGAAUAGGGUGCUAAGCCUAGAGAAGAGUAGAAAAAGCAUGUUCAAGACAGAGUAGACGAAAGCUGUAGCGAAGCAACGCUGGAGCAUGGAUUUACAACACAAUUAACAGCCCAGACACAGGAAUUUACCAUGCCCAUACAGUUUUCAGCUGGUUGCCCUAAAAACGGGACACGAUAAGAAAGGGACAUUUUGCCCUAGCAGUCACACACAGAUCCCAAUAGAGACACACGUUUGAGAGCUGAAACGACAAGGAGGAGGAAUCUAUCCAUUUUCGGGGAGAGAGCUGACGACAGGAAAAGCCCAUUAUGAACCAACAUAUUACCAUUAGGCGGUUCCUCACUCUCAUUGGCGGGAUGCAAUGCGUGCUGAAUUGGAUGCCAUGGAAGCUAAUAAUACUUGAUUCAUAGUGCCUUUGCCUUUCAAUCACCAUUCAAUUGGAUGCGAAUGGGUUUACAAGAUCAAGAAGCUAAGGGUUAUACUCAGCAAGAAGGCCUUGAUUAUAUUAAAACUUUCUCACCUAUUGCUAAAUUAGUUACUGUCAAGGUCUUACUUCAUCUUGUCAUUUCAUAUAAUUGGCCUUUAGUACAACUGGAUGUAAAUAAUGCUUUUUUGCAUGAGGAUUUGUUUGAGGAGGUGUAUAUGAAUUUGCCUUUGGGAUAUGAUCAUGACAAGGUUGCUUUUAAUGGGGAGCGUUU
Momordica charantia (bitter melon) is the source of this 840-nucleotide non-coding RNA. The record is from RefSeq and is a predicted model, not a curated record. Lineage: Eukaryota; Viridiplantae; Streptophyta; Magnoliopsida; Cucurbitales; Cucurbitaceae.